AGUAAAAGUCGUAACAAGGUUUCCGUAGGUGAACCUGCGGAAGGAUCAUUACCGAACCGUCGACACGAGUUGUUGCUGGUCCCUCGGAAGGGGGACAUGUGCACGCUCUGUUUACACAUCCACUCACACCUGUGCACCUUCUGUAGUUCUGUGGUCCGGGAGAUCCGUCUUCCCUCCACGGCUCUACGUUUUCACACACACGCCGUAAUAAAGUUUUAUGGAAUGUAUGCCGCGUUUAACGCAAUAAAAUACAACUUUCAGCAACGGAUCUCUUGGCUCUCGCAUCGAUGAAGAACGCAGCGAAAUGCGAUAAGUAAUGUGAAUUGCAGAAUUCAGUGAAUCAUCGAAUCUUUGAACGCACCUUGCGCCCUUUGGCCAUUCCGAAGGGCAUGCCUGUUUGAGUAUCAUGAACACCUCAACUCUCACGGUUCGCCGCGAUGAGCUUGGACUUUGGAGGUUUUGCUGGCCCUCUGUCGGCUCCUCUCAAAUUAAUUAGCUUUCCGGUGUUUGGUAGCGUCGCAGGUGUGAUAACUAUCUACGCUUGUGAGGGUCUGCCGAGCAACCUCCAGUGAUGGAGGUCCGCUGGAGCUUCUAAACGUCUCUCCUCUGCGAAGACAGCCUUUUGAUGUUUGAUCUCAAAUCAGGUAGGACUACCCGCUGAACUUAAGCAUAUCAAUAAGCGGAGGAAAAGAAACUAACAAGGAUUCCCCUAGUAACUGCGAGUGAAGCGGGAAGAGCUCAAAUUUAAAAUCUGGCGGCCUCUGG
RNAcentral lists this ribosomal RNA (765 nucleotides) under uncultured Tomentella. Its description in RNAcentral is "eukaryotic LSU rRNA". The stretch from base 253 to 407 matches the Rfam family "5.8S ribosomal RNA". Lineage: Eukaryota; Fungi; Basidiomycota; Agaricomycetes; Thelephorales; Thelephoraceae. The record is from RNAcentral.